UGCGUAGGCGGGCUAAUAAGUCAGUGGUGAAAUCUUUCGGCUCAACCGAGAAACUGCCAUUGAUACUGUUAGUCUUGAGUUCGGUUGAGGUAGGCGGAAUGUGUAAUGUAGCGGUGAAAUGCUUAGAUAUUACACAGAACACCAAUUGCGUAGGCAGCUUACUAGACCGACACUGACGCUGAGGCACGAAAGCGUGGGGAGCGAACAGGAUUAGAUACCCUGGUAGUC
This 228-nucleotide ribosomal RNA is filed under the name uncultured bacterium. RNAcentral's name for it is "partial 16S ribosomal RNA". It matches the Rfam family "Bacterial small subunit ribosomal RNA", at positions 568 to 795 of the family's 1533-position model. The record is from RNAcentral.